This 160-nucleotide small nuclear RNA is filed under the name Lupinus albus (white lupine). Its description in RNAcentral is "U1 spliceosomal RNA". It matches the Rfam family "U1 spliceosomal RNA". From Rfam's summary of the family: U1 is a small nuclear RNA (snRNA) component of the spliceosome (involved in pre-mRNA splicing). Its 5' end forms complementary base pairs with the 5' splice junction, thus defining the 5' donor site of an intron. Lineage: Eukaryota; Viridiplantae; Streptophyta; Magnoliopsida; Fabales; Fabaceae. The record is from Rfam by way of RNAcentral.
AUACUUACCUGGACAGGGUCAAUGGGUGAUCAUGAAGGCCCAUGGCCUAGGGUAGUGACCUCCAUUGCACUUAGGAGGGUUGCUAUCCUAAGGUCUACCCAAGUGGUGGAGCCUAUGUCAUAAUUUGUGGCAGUGGAGGCCUGUGUUCGCGCGGCCUCUC